UACAGAGGGGGCUAGCGUUGUUCGGAAUUAUUGGGCGUAAAGGGCGCGUAGGCGGCCGGAUAAGUCUGACGUGAAAUCCCUCGGCCUAACCGGGGAACUGCGUUUGAUACUGUCCAGCUCGAGUCCGGGAGAGGGUAGUGGAAUUCCCAGUGUAGCGGUGAAAUGCGUAGAUAUUGGGAGGAACACCGGUGGCGAAGGCGGCUACCUGGACCGGUACUGACGCUGAGGCGCGAAAGCUAGGGUAGCAAACAGG
This 253-nucleotide ribosomal RNA is filed under the name uncultured bacterium. RNAcentral's name for it is "partial 16S ribosomal RNA". It matches the Rfam family "Bacterial small subunit ribosomal RNA", at positions 524 to 776 of the family's 1533-position model. The record is from RNAcentral.